CCGCGNNUAGCUCNUUACANUAGCCGUUGUUUCUUGGAUCCUCAAUUUACUUGGAUACCUGUGGUAAUUCUAGAGCUAAUACAUGCGACUAAGGGCCGAACUCACGUGACGCUUGCAUUUAUUAGAUCAAGACUAACCGGCUUCGGCCGUUAACUUGGUGACUCUGAAUAACUCAGCUGAUCGCACGGUCUAGUGCCGGCGACAUAUCUUUCAAGUGUCUACCUUAUCAACUGUCGAUGGUAGUUUAUGUGACUACCAUGGUUGUAACGGGUAACGGAGAAUCAGGGUUUGACUCCGGAGAGGGAGCCUGAGAAACGGCUACCACUUCUAAGGAAGGCAGCAGGCGCGCAAAUUACACAAUCUCAGCACGAGGAUGUAGUGACGAAACAUACCGAGGCGAUGCCCUUUCGGGUGUCGUCAUUGGAAUGAGUCGAAUCUAAAAAAUUCGGCAAGGAUCUAGUGGAGGGCAAGUCUGGUGCCAGCAGCCGCGGUAAUUCCAGCUCCGCAAGUGUAUAUCUAUGCUGUUGCGGUUAAAAAGCUCGUAGUUUGAUUCGCGUACUUAGCACGCAGUGUGGCCUUUCGGCUACUACUGUGAUGCGGUACAUUAUCGUCAGUUUGUCGUUGAUGCUCUUCAUUGGGUGUCAGCGGCGGCUGUCAAGUUUACUUUGAACAAAUUAAAGUGCUCAAUACAGGCGUUUCGCUUGUAUAGUUCUGCAUGGAAUAAUAGAAUAGGACUUACGUUCUAUUGUGUUGGUUUUCAGAACGAAAGUAAUGAUUAAGAGGGACAGACGGGGUCAUUCGUACUGCCACGUUAGAGGUGAAAUUCUUGGAUCGUGGCAAGACGAACUACUGCGAAAGCAUUUGACAAGAAUGUUUUCAUUAAUCAAGAACGAAAGUUAUGGGUU
Molecule: ribosomal RNA, 905 nt
Filed under: Halomonhystera disjuncta
Lineage: Eukaryota; Metazoa; Nematoda; Chromadorea; Monhysterida; Monhysteridae
Description: SSU rRNA
Rfam family: Eukaryotic small subunit ribosomal RNA
Source: RNAcentral